Molecule: long non-coding RNA, 266 nt
Filed under: Phoenix dactylifera (date palm)
Lineage: Eukaryota; Viridiplantae; Streptophyta; Magnoliopsida; Arecales; Arecaceae
Description: long non-coding RNA (PDAC_LNC015900)
Source: RNAcentral
GUAUGGAAGUGGGAGAGAACAUUUAGGGAAAAGAUUUCAAAGAGAUUACACGGAAAAUCUCCCAUAAGCACAAAAGGGCCAUUCAAAGUAAAAUAGAGAGAAGAAGAGCAUCCAAGUGAAUCCCAAAGCUUCCUCUCCAUCCGUGUGCUGUGAUGCAAAAAUAAAACUGUUCUCCCAAGUGCAGGAGAAUCGCACAAGUAAUAUAACUCGGGAGUCCGAGGUCGAUUCCUCAGGGAACGAUCUAUAGAUUAUUAGCGUAAUUUGUA